Molecule: non-coding RNA, 195 nt
Organism: Schistosoma mansoni
Lineage: Eukaryota; Metazoa; Platyhelminthes; Trematoda; Strigeidida; Schistosomatidae
Source: Rfam
AUUAUAUCUCGGCUCUCUGAGGUAAGAUCAUGAGUAGUAUCGGUUAUUUGCAGUGUAAUUUCUGUAACGGUCUCUAAACCGAGACAAAUGAAAUUACCUGUAUUUUUCACCUCCGGAUGGGUGCUGUGAGCUUGCACAAUCUCAUCCACGGGUCGGCCUCGUAUUACAUUUUUAUGAGUAAUCAGUUCACAUUAU